CAUUACAGGUAGACUUCAGUCGAGCUUCUUCAUAGCCAGAUCCCAGACGAGCUUCUACAGUGGGACAGGACCCACUGGCCAGAUCGCUACUCCUAGCUCCCAUGACAACCGACCUUCGAUCGAGCUUCUACAACAAGCAGUCUCCUUUCAGCCCUCUGCAAGAACCAGACCUUGACCGAACUUCCAUAGCGAAUGGAUAUCGGACGAGCUUCUGCGAUGGACGGACUCCGACAGUUGGAUUCUUACAAUGACCGAUCACCUCCGACGUCUGUCGAACCUCUCCAGUGCCAUCCGAAGUCCAUCGUCGGCCGACCUCUCGCC
This 321-nucleotide long non-coding RNA is filed under the name Elaeis guineensis (African oil palm). RNAcentral describes it as "long non-coding RNA (EGUI_LNC079475)". Lineage: Eukaryota; Viridiplantae; Streptophyta; Magnoliopsida; Arecales; Arecaceae. The record is from RNAcentral.